This is a long non-coding RNA of Cyprinus carpio (common carp), 605 nucleotides long. RefSeq lists it as uncharacterized. Lineage: Eukaryota; Metazoa; Chordata; Actinopteri; Cypriniformes; Cyprinidae. The record is from RefSeq and is a predicted model, not a curated record.
AAACACAGAGGAGAGCACAGAGCCGUAAAAUGUCGUAAAGUCAGAUAUAAAACGUGACGCUUUUCUUCCUGUGUCCUUCUCAGCUUCAACCCGCCUGCGAGUGUUUGUGAAGAAGGCUGGCCUAAAACUAGGAAAUUCGUAGGCAUCUCUGUGUUGUUUGACGGGAGUAGUAAGCACCAUAUGCAGUAUGGUUUCGGAUGACAUUAAUGGUCUUCCUGUGAACGGACUGGGUGAUCAGGCUCCAGAACACAAUGUGGGUGAAUAAUCCUGUGAAUUAAUGCAUAAAAUGCAUCAUUUGUAGCUGAAGAAGCUUGUCCUAAUGGUGUGAUCUGAAGGAUGUCCACUAGAAGGCGCAACACCCCUUUUUGGUGAUUGGUGGUAUGUUAGAGGUCCCAUAUGACUAGAUUGAAGAAUGAAUGUUGACAGCUGAUCGUGCUUCUAGUUCUGCAAGCUGAGAAAUUUGCCGUUGGGAGUGAAGGGUUUCCCAGCCAGACUUUUCUUGGAAGUUGGUGCUGUUGAAGAGGUCAUACUACAGAGGAAAUUGUAAAGCUUAUCCUUUGGAGUGUCUUGUGGUGAUUGUAGUUUUCAAUAAAGUACAAAAGAUA